RNAcentral lists this ribosomal RNA (513 nucleotides) under uncultured bacterium. Its description in RNAcentral is "partial 16S ribosomal RNA". It matches the Rfam family "Bacterial small subunit ribosomal RNA", at positions 28 to 523 of the family's 1533-position model. The record is from RNAcentral.
GAUGAACGCUGGCGGCGUUCCUAAUACAUGCAAGUCGAGCGAACGGAUAAGGAGCUUGCUCCUUUGAAGUUAGCGGCGGACGGGUGAGUAACACGUGGGUAACCUACCUAUAAGACUGGAAUAACUUCGGGAAACCGGAGCUAAUGCCGGAUAACAUUUGGAACUGCAUGGUUCUAAAGUAAAAGAUGGUUUUGCUAUCACUUAUAGAUGGACCCGGGUCGUAUUAGCUAGUUGGUAAGGUAACGGCUUACCAAGGCAACGAUACGUAGCCGACGUGAGAGGGUGAUCGGCCACACUGGAACUGAGACACGGUCCAGACUCCUACGGGAGGCAGCAGUAGGGAAUCUUCCGCAAUGGACGAAAGUCUGACGGAGCAACGCCGCGUGAGUGAUGAAGGUUUUCGGAUCGUAAAACUCUGUUAUUAGGGAAGAACAAAUGUGUAAGUAACUGUGCACAUCUUGACGGUACCUAAUCAGAAAGCCACGGCUAACUACGUGCCAGCAGCCGCAGUAA